GUAGGUGGCAAGCGUUGUCCGGAAUUAUUGGGCGUAAAGCGCGCGCAGGCGGUUCUUUAAGUCUGAUGUGAAAGCCCACGGGCUCAACCGUGGAGGGUCAUUGGAAACUGGAGAACUUGAGUACAGAAGAGGAAAGCGGAAUUCCACGUGUAGCGGUGAAAUGCGUAGAGAUGUGGAGGAACACCAGUGGCGAAGGCGGCUUUCUGGUCUGUAACUGACGCUGAGGCGCGAAAGCGUGGGGAGCAAACAGGAUUAGAUACCCUGGUAGUCCACGCCGUAAACGAUGAGUGCUAAGUGUUAGGGGGUUUCCGCCCCUUAGUGCUGCAGCCAACGCAUUAAGCACUCCGCCUGGGGAGUACGACCGCAAGGUUG
Molecule: ribosomal RNA, 372 nt
Filed under: uncultured organism
Description: partial 16S ribosomal RNA
Rfam family: Bacterial small subunit ribosomal RNA
Source: RNAcentral